RNAcentral lists this non-coding RNA (307 nucleotides) under Triticum aestivum (bread wheat). RNAcentral's name for it is "Bacterial large subunit ribosomal RNA". It matches the Rfam family "Bacterial large subunit ribosomal RNA", at positions 904 to 1230 of the family's 2925-position model. The record is from Rfam by way of RNAcentral. Lineage: Eukaryota; Viridiplantae; Streptophyta; Magnoliopsida; Poales; Poaceae.
AAUGAGUAUUAAGGCUCGUGGCGGAUAUCAUUAUUUUCUGACCUUCACAGAUGAUUUGAGCAUCAAGGUCGGCUAGUGAGACGAUGGGGGAUAAGCUUCAUCGUCGAGAGGGAAAUAGCCCGGAUCACCAGCUAAGGCCCCUAAAUAACCGCUCAGCGAUAAAGGAGGUGGGGGUGCAAAGACAACCAGGAGGUUUGCCAAGACGCAGACACCCUUUAAAGAGUGCGUAAUAACUCACUGUAUCUACUUGAUGAAACAUAAGUCUGAAAUAGUUGAAAGGUUCAAAGAAUUUCAGAGUGAAGUGGAA